UGCAAUUAUACUUUUUUUUUUCCUUUUUUGCCCUUUUCUCUAUGUGCUCUAAUCCUGAUCAGAUGCCCAAGGCCCAGCCCAAUUCUAAAUCACAUCCCAAUUAGGCAAAGCCCAUCUCAAACACAUCCUAAAUUAAGAGCUUAUAUUUACCACCAUUUUAAAAAGUGAAUCGAACAGCGAUCCAGAAAUAUUACUAGGUCAAGCAUCACUAAUUCAAUCAGUGAGUCAAUCACUGAUUGAACUAGUGGUAUCAGCAUGACAUUAUAAAUAUUUAAUUAUUAUAUUUAUUUUUAAUCUUUAUUCUAGUAUCAUUAUUAAUUUUAUAAUAUACUAAUUUUUAGACCAAAUUAAAUAGAUAUAAUUUUAAAUUUUUUUUUACUUUUUAUAAAACUCAACAUAUGCUAACGAAAAAUAAA
This 416-nucleotide long non-coding RNA is filed under the name Ananas comosus (pineapple). RNAcentral describes it as "long non-coding RNA (ACOM_LNC000192)". The record is from RNAcentral. Lineage: Eukaryota; Viridiplantae; Streptophyta; Magnoliopsida; Poales; Bromeliaceae.